Molecule: ribosomal RNA, 578 nt
Filed under: uncultured bacterium
Lineage: Bacteria
Description: bacterial SSU rRNA
Rfam family: Bacterial small subunit ribosomal RNA
Source: RNAcentral
AACAACCGGCCGUCNUUAAUCCAGCCUAAUACAUGCAGUCGAGCGACGAGAAGAGCUUGCUCCUUCGACGUAGCGGCGGACGGGUGAGUAACACGUGGGCACCUACCUUAUAUUGGGAUAACUCCGGGAAACCGGGGCUAAUACCGAAUAAUCUAUUUUACUUCAUGGUGAAAUACUGAAAGACGGUUUCGGCUGUCGCUAUAAGAUGGGCCCGCGGCGCAUUAGCUAGUUGGUGAGGUAACGGCUCACCAAGCGACGAUGCGUAGCCGACCUGAGAGUGGUGAUCUGGCCACACUGGGACUGAGACACGGCCCAGACUCCUACGGGAGGCAGCAUGUAGGGAAUCUUCCACAAUGGGCGAAAGCCUGAUGGAGCAACGCCGCGUGAGUGAAGAAGGUUUUCGGAUCGUAAAAACUUCUGUUGUAACGGGAAGAACAAUGUACAGUAGUAACUGGCUGUACCUUGACGGUACCUAUUAGAAAAGCCACGGAUAACAACNUAGCCCAGCAGCCGCGUGUAAAUACGUAAGGUGGCNAGCGUUGUCCCGGAAUUCUUGGGCGUAAAAGUGGCGCGACAGC